Molecule: ribosomal RNA, 968 nt
Filed under: Flavoparmelia caperata
Lineage: Eukaryota; Fungi; Ascomycota; Lecanoromycetes; Lecanorales; Parmeliaceae
Description: LSU rRNA
Rfam family: Eukaryotic large subunit ribosomal RNA
Source: RNAcentral
ACAACAGGGAUUGCCUCAGUACGGCGAGUGAAGCGGCAACAGCUCAAAUUUGAAAUCUGGCCUCUCUCGGGGUCCGAGUUGUAAUUUGUAGAGAGUGUUUCGGGGGAGACCGCGGUCUAAGUCCAUUGGAACAUGGCGUCAUAGAGGGUGAGAAUCCCGUCUGUGACCGCGGAUCGAGCCCAUGUGAAGCCUCUUCGACGAGUCGAGUUGUUUGGGAAUGCAGCUCAAAAUGGGUGGUAAAUUUCAUCUAAAGCUAAAUACUGGCUGGAGACCGAUAGCGCACAAGUAGAGUGAUCGAAAGAUGAAAAGCACUUUGGAAAGAGAGUUAAACAGUACGUGAAAUUGUUGAAAGGGAAGCGCUUGCGACCAGACCUGCCCGUGGGCGAUCAGCCGCUGUUCUCAGCGGUGCACUCGUUCCACGAUCAGGCCAGCAUCGGUUUCGGCGGUCGGAUAAAGGCCUUGGGAAUGUAGCUUCCUUUCGGGGGAGUCUUAUAGCCCUUGGUGCAAUGCGGCCAGCCGGGACCGAGGACCGCGCUUCGGCUAGGAUGCUGGCGUAAUGGUCGUAAGCGACCCGUCUUGAAACACGGACCAAGGAGUCUAACAUCUAUGCGAGUGUUUGGGUGUCAAACCCAUGCGCGGAAUGAAAGUGAACGGAGGUGAGAACCCUUAAGGGCGCAUCAUCGACCGAUCCAGAUGUCUUCGGAUGGAUUUGAGUAUGAGCAUAGCUGUUGGGACCCGAAAGGUACGUUCAAACUCCCCACACCCCCUCCAGAAUCUAUAGAACUUUAAGCUAACUUGUUUUCACAGAUGGUGAACUAUGCCUGAAUAGGGUGAAGCCAGAGGAAACUCUGGUGGAGGCUCGCAGCGGUUCUGACGUGCAAAUCGAUCGUCAAAUUUGGGUAUAGGUAAGUUCGAUGCGGUGAACCCCAGAUUGUUCAAAACCAUCCUUGAUCUAACCGUGAUUUUUA